RNAcentral lists this non-coding RNA (28 nucleotides) under Homo sapiens (human). Lineage: Eukaryota; Metazoa; Chordata; Mammalia; Primates; Hominidae. The record is from RNAcentral.
CCCAUGCAAAGGAGCAAACGCCAGGCCG